RNAcentral lists this non-coding RNA (31 nucleotides) under Mus musculus (house mouse). Lineage: Eukaryota; Metazoa; Chordata; Mammalia; Rodentia; Muridae. The record is from RNAcentral.
UGGGAUGUAUCACAGCUGCCUGAAUGGCCUC